UGUAAAUAAUGUGAAUAAUUCCUCAUCUCUUAAAUAUAGAACUGAAGAAGUCUGAUAUCAUAGCAAGGUUAAAAACUAGGUGGUGCUGCUCGGAUUUUACAAAUCAAAGAAUGUGUCUCAGUGAUGGUGGGACCAAGUAUAUUAGAAAUCUCAACUGAGACAGGUAUGUUGGUGCCAAAGACAUUGAAAUGGUACGGGGUGGAUGGGAGGGUGCAAUUCACAGGAAUGUUACAGGUGUUUAACAUUUAUGUUACGAAAGGAAAGCAGAAGUGAAUUAGAGAGGUUUUAGAGUCUGAGCUCAAGAAAUGAAUUAUGCAUGGCUGAUUGGGACUGCGAAGUUAUAACAUCAAACAAAAGUAAAAAAAAAGUAAGAAAAUAACCAGGUAAUAACUGUCACAGUUUAAUUAGAAAAUACUAUAAUCUUUUGAUUCCACUUAUGGCCAAUACAGAUAGUAAUCUCCAUUUAGCACUGUGGUUCAUUAUAUCUGUCAAUUUGCCCCUUGCAUGACUGCUUGGCCAUUAUGGUUCUUCUGUAAUGGUUUUGGAUGGUUUGUUUGCUCGACACAGCUCAUUGUGUUGUACUGUUUUUCUAAAAUAGGGCCAUUUUCCUGUUCCUUCAUGGUUGAAUGAUGCUCUGAAAAUAUAUCUGUUACUGGACCAAUUUAGACAUUUCCUCCAAUUUUUGUAGAUUGUUUAUUUUUUUUCAUUCUCUCCUGAAUAUCAAACAAUGAUUUUUUUGUUUGUUCAUAUAUAUAUUUUUAACUUAGAACAAGACAGAAUUAAUUUGAGCUUGUGAAUUCUUCAAAGAAACUGAUGGUUUUUAACCAUAAAAUCAAAAUUGCUUCCUGUUAGUUUUUUUCAAUUAGAUUUCCAAAAAUAAACCUUGGUGGAUUUUUAUCAGUUUGGAAAAAAGUUUUGCAAAUAAAAAUCAAAUCAAGAAAGCUGAAGGAACAAAAACAUAAAAUAAAUUUACAAAGAACAAUGUUUCUUUCAAGGAACACACACACACACACACACACACACACACACACACACACACACACACACACAUUCUCUCAAUCAUACUCUAAAGAAUUGAAGGCUGAGCCCAUAGCUUUCUAUAUCUGAAGAAUAAUAUAUGUAUUGACCUUUCUAAAUUAAAGAGUAAGAAGUCUUUAGUGAUAGCAGGGAGAGAGAGAGAGUAACAGCCAGAUAUCAAUGGAAUUCGGUUAGUCUGGUAUGGUACCAUGCUUCACUGUAUGUAAGAUAUUUGUAGAAAACGCUGACUGAAUCAAAACCUGGGUGAAUCUGUGGCAGAGAUGAAUUCCAUAAGUGUAAGAUGAAUGGAGAGAUUUUUGGAGAAAGGAAGUAAGGGUUACAUAUUUAAUUGAAAGUGGCUUUGAGGGGGCCAGUUUGUGGAAGGUGAGUUGGAAAUCAUAGUGAGAGCUGAAGACAGGAGACAAAGGAAAGGGUCCAGAGAGCAAUAUAAAGGUUUCACAAUGUUGGUGUGUGUUUGUGUAUGUGUAUAGUAUGUAAGGGAGCAGUCUGCUGGAAUAUUUUUAACAUUUGAGAAAGGGAUUCCAUUCCAAGGCCUGGCAUUAUAGAUGGAUAGUAUUUAUGAUGUGUUGAGCACUAAUUUACAGUCAAUUAAUGAACUCGUUGUGAGUGUUUUAAAUUGCUGUAGUUCGGUCAUGAUGUCUGAAUGGUCAUCUAGUGGUUCAGUUUCAAAUCACUGCUACAAACUGAUACAUUUUUUCUGAAACAGAAACAAAGGUUCUUGUCAAACAGAUUUGGCAAAGUUAAGAAAGAUUUAGCAAUGAGGAAUUAUUUAUAAUUCCUGAUAUGAGAGAAUUUUAGCAAUGAGCCACUGUUAUUUAUAAUUCUUGACAUGUCUACAGUUAGUUAUUCCUGAUACAUCUUCACAUUGACAUAGGAAUAGCUGUGUGGUUAAAGUGGCUUGUUUCACUACUGGCUGGUUCCAGUUCAAUCCCACUGCUCUGCAGUGAACUGCGCUCCGGGCAAAUGCAUUCUCUAUCAUAGUCAGGGGUUGAAUAAAAGACCUUUUGAGUGAAAUUUGGUUAAUAAAAACUGUGUGGAGGCCCAUCUGAAAGACUGUUCCCAUACAUGAGGGACAAAUUGAUCCAACCCUUGGGUGCUUUUAGCAGGAUCCACUCUGGUGGAGUUUGGUUUCUGGUCUGAGGAUAAAUUGUACCUUCUAGAUUCUGAGACACCUUGAAAAUGGUAAUGGGCUCUGCUCUUUCUCCACCGACUGAGCCAUUAUAUGUAUACUCUAUGUGUGCAUAUGUAUACAUACAUACAUGUGUGUGUGUAUAUAUAUAUGUAUAUAUGUAUGUAUGUAUGUAUGUAUAUAUAUAUAUAUACACACACACAUACAUAUACACACAAAAAACACAUACAUAAAUACAUACAUACAUAUAUAUAUAUAUUCUUUUAUUCUUUUAUAAAAUGAAUUUAUAAAGAACACACACACAUACACACAUGUACACAUGCACACAUGUAUACAUGCACACACACACAUAUAUAUAUAAAAAAAUACAUACAUACAUACAUACAUACAUACAUACAUACAUACAUACAUACAUACAUAUAUAUAUAUAUAUAUAUCAUGAAUGUGUGUAUAAACGUAUCCAUACUUAUGACCUCAUGUAUGAUUGUAUGCAUUUGUUUAUAUUUAAACACACACACACACACACACACAUAUACAUACAUUCUUACACUCUCACACUUACAUACCCACACACAGCUGAGAGCAGUGCACCAGAUAUAAUAUACUGUGAUAUAUAACGAAGUGAAUUAGCGAGGACCAGAUAAUGGGUGUCAUUGUAACAGUUUUUAUCUUCAGCAUCAUCAUCAUUGCUGAAACCUAAUAAUUAUUGCCAAAGAUGAAAGCCAACAAAAGACUGAGUAACGAAUAAUAAUUAGUAGAUUAAAAAUACAAAAUAUGCUGUAACUACUUAGUAUUAUUGCUGAAAGAAAAGUCAUUUGGUUAGGUUUGUUAGAUGUCGUGAAUGCAGAAUAAUGUGAGGCCUUUCGAUAAAGAAAAAAAAAAGAGGCAAAAUAAUAAUAAUAAUAAUAAUAAUAAUAAUAAUAAUAAUAAUAGUAAUAAUAAUAACGACAAAAUAAAUAAGGCGAGUAACAAAAUGAAAUAGUAAAAAAAAAAAGUUUAUCAUGAAAACAAACUGUAACCUAGAUAUUGAUUAAAAUAUUGAUUAAUAUAAUCCACUUUUGAAAUGAUGGUCAUGUGACUUGACUUAUUGGUGUGUGAAAAGAAGGUUAUAUAAACCACGAUAAUUGUGUUGUUUUUUUUUUUGUCAUAUAUAUAUAUAUAUAUAUUGCUUCUUCUCACAUUUGUCUUUAUAUUCUGUGUGUGUGCAUGUGUGUGUAUAUGUGUGUGUAUG
Molecule: long non-coding RNA, 3398 nt
Filed under: Octopus vulgaris (common octopus)
Lineage: Eukaryota; Metazoa; Mollusca; Cephalopoda; Octopoda; Octopodidae
Source: RNAcentral